CUACGGGGCGCAGCAGGCGAGAAAACUUUGCAAUGUGCGAAAGCAUGACAAGGUUAAUCCGAGUGGUUUGUGCUAAACGAACCUUUUGACAGUCCUAGAAACACUGUUGAAUAAGGGGUGGGCAAGUUCUGGUGUCAGCCGCCGCGGUAAAACCAGCACCUCAAGUGGUCAGGAUGAUUAUUGGGCCUAAAGCAUCCGUAGCCGGCUCUGUAAGUUUUCGGUUAAAUCUGUACGCUCAACGUACAGGCUGCCGGGAAUACUGCAGAGCUAGGGAGUGGGAGAGGUAGACGGUACUCGGUAGGAAGGGGUAAAAUCCUUUGAUCUAUUGAUGACCACCUGUGGCGAAGGCGGUCUACCAGAACACGUCCGACGGUGAGGGAUGAAAGCUGGGGGAGCAAACCGGAUUAGAUACCCCGGUAGUC
RNAcentral lists this ribosomal RNA (422 nucleotides) under uncultured archaeon. RNAcentral describes it as "partial 16S ribosomal RNA". It matches the Rfam family "Archaeal small subunit ribosomal RNA", at positions 323 to 746 of the family's 1478-position model. The record is from RNAcentral.